UGUGUGCUGGUGGGGUCCCUUGGCCUGGCCUGUGCUUUCUCACAAUCCGGGACCCUUCGGGGGAUGUUGGAGAACCAGUUUUGGCCAGAUCCCUACAGGCCAGGCCGAGGGACCCCACCAGUGCAAG
Molecule: microRNA precursor, 127 nt
Filed under: Myotis davidii
Lineage: Eukaryota; Metazoa; Chordata; Mammalia; Chiroptera; Vespertilionidae
Description: mir-9193 microRNA precursor family
Rfam family: mir-9193 microRNA precursor family
Source: Rfam by way of RNAcentral